This is a long non-coding RNA of Falco peregrinus (peregrine falcon), 179 nucleotides long. RefSeq lists it as uncharacterized. NCBI's taxonomy places the organism in Eukaryota, Metazoa, Chordata, Aves, Falconiformes, Falconidae. The record is from RefSeq and is a predicted model, not a curated record. The transcript has 3 exons.
GGAAAAUCAGUCUCUCCUCACCAAAGUUACUUCUCUCCAGGAAGAGAAUAUUAGGAAUAGCAUGGACACCGAUGGACUUCAAAAGAAGAUUUUAGAGCUGUCAAAAAAUGCAGCAGAUCUUCAAAUACAAGCACAUAUCUAUGAGAACACUGUGGUGACUAAAGAGGCAAGCUUGCUCC